GAUGAACGCUGGCGGCGUGCCUAAUACAUGCAAGUCGAGCGAACGGACGAGAAUCUUGCUUCUCUGAUGUUAUCGGCUGACGUGUUAGUAACACGUGGAUAACCUACCUAUAAGACUGGUAUAACUUCGGGAAACCGUAUCUAAUACCGUAUAAUAUUUUGAACCGCAUGGUUCAAAAGUGAAAGACGGUCUUGCUUUCACUUAUAGAUGGAUCCGCGCUGCAUUAGCUAGUUGGUAAGGUAACGGCUUACCAAGGCAACGAUGCAUAGCCGACCUGAGAGGGUGAUCGGCCACACUGGAACUGAGACACGGUCCAGACUCCGACGGGAGGAAGCAGUAGGGAAUAGUACGCAAUGGGCGAAAGCAUGACGGAGCAAAGCCGCGUGAGUGAUGAAGGUCUUAGGAUCGUAAAACUCUGUUAUUAGGGAAGAACAAAUGUGUAAGUAACUGUGCACAUAUUGACGGUAACUAAUCAGAAAGCAACGGCUAACUACGUG
RNAcentral lists this ribosomal RNA (497 nucleotides) under uncultured bacterium. RNAcentral's name for it is "partial 16S ribosomal RNA". It matches the Rfam family "Bacterial small subunit ribosomal RNA", at positions 28 to 507 of the family's 1533-position model. The record is from RNAcentral.